AACGAACGCUGGCGGCAUGCCUAACACAUGCAAGUCGAACGAGACCUUCGGGUCUAGUGGCGCACGGGUGCGUAACGCGUGGGAACCUGCCCUUAGGUUCGGAAUAACUCUCCGACAGGGGUGCUAAUACCGGAUAAUGUCUUCGGACCAAAGAUUUAUCGCGUUUGGAUGGGCCCGCGUUGUAUUAGCUUGUUGGUAGGGUAAAAGCCUACCAAGGCGACGAUCCAUAGCUGGUUUGAGAGAAUGAUCAGCCACACUGGGACUGAGACACGGCCCAGACUCCUACGGGAGGCAGCAGUGGGGAAUAUUGGACAAUGGGCGAAAGCCUGAUCCAGCAAUGCCGCGUGAGUGAUGAAGGCCUUAGAGUUGUAAAGCUCUUUUACCCGGGAUGAUAAUGACAGUACCGGAAGAAUAAGCUCCGGCUAACUCCGUG
This 433-nucleotide ribosomal RNA is filed under the name uncultured bacterium. Its description in RNAcentral is "partial 16S ribosomal RNA". It matches the Rfam family "Bacterial small subunit ribosomal RNA", at positions 29 to 507 of the family's 1533-position model. The record is from RNAcentral.